GCAGCUCCUCCUGCUCAGGCUUCUUGCAGAGCAUGGGGCAUAGGAGGUCCCCAAGUAGGUGUCGAAUGGACAAGUACAGGGACACCUCUUCCCCCAUCCUGUGUGAGCAGCACACUCACAGCACUCAGGACGCCCGGCCGGAGAGGACAGCUCCCAAAGGAUGCUUCCCAAUGCCCUAGUCGUGGGGGCGUGAACAGGUGGAGGGGGCCUGCAUGGAUCCAGGGUCACAAGAAACACUGUGACCUCGACAUUUCAAGCCCCCCCGGUGCAGAGAGACAGAGGGGAUGUCUCCGACGGUGGAUGGCUGAUGGCUGAUGAGGAAGGGACAGACUUCUGCUCAGGGAGACGGAGCAGAGGGUGUCUCGGUCACCGAAGGUUCCCUGCCCGCCCUCCCGGCUUUGGGAAGCCGCUUCCCCUGGGAGUCAGAACCAUACACUACUUUGCC
Molecule: long non-coding RNA, 445 nt
Filed under: Chinchilla lanigera (long-tailed chinchilla)
Lineage: Eukaryota; Metazoa; Chordata; Mammalia; Rodentia; Chinchillidae
Description: lncRNA (ENSCLAG00000027868.1)
Source: RNAcentral